GAUGAACGCUGGCGGCGUGCCUAAUACAUGCAAGUCGAGCGAACAGACGAGGAGCUUGCUCCUCUGACGUUAGCGGCGGACGGGUGAGUAACACGUGGAUAACCUACCUAUAAGACUGGGAUAACUUCGGGAAACCGGAGCUAAUACCGGAUAAUAUAUUGAACCGCAUGGUUCAAUAGUGAAAGACGGUUUUGCUGUCACUUAUAGAUGGAUCCGCGCCGCAUUAGCUAGUUGGUAAGGUAACGGCUUACCAAGGCGACGAUGCGUAGCCGACCUGAGAGGGUGGUCGGCCACACUGGAACUGAGACACGGUCCCGACUCCUACGGGAGGCAGCAGUAGGGAAUCUUCCGCAAUGGGCGAAAGCCUGACGGAGCAACGCCGCGUGAGUGAUGAAGGUCUUCGGAUCGUAAAACUCUGUUAUUAGGGAAGAACGAAUGUGUAAGUAACUAUGCACGUCUUGACGGUACCUAAUCAGAAAGCCACGGCUAACUACGUG
Molecule: ribosomal RNA, 497 nt
Filed under: uncultured bacterium
Lineage: Bacteria
Description: partial 16S ribosomal RNA
Rfam family: Bacterial small subunit ribosomal RNA
Source: RNAcentral